Lathyrus oleraceus (garden pea) is the source of this 549-nucleotide long non-coding RNA. RefSeq lists it as uncharacterized. Lineage: Eukaryota; Viridiplantae; Streptophyta; Magnoliopsida; Fabales; Fabaceae. The record is from RefSeq and is a predicted model, not a curated record. The transcript is spliced from 2 exons.
UACACUUUGAGGUCUCAUAGAAUCCAGUCUUGGAAAUAACCAACGGCAGUAGUACCAUAAUAAUAGAAUAAGCAGUACAGCUCAAAAUUCAUAGUACUACUACAUGCAUGUACUGCAAACUUGCAAAGUACAAACAUUCCCCCUUUGUGCGAUUACAAAUAGAAUCACAAGGAAUCCAUUUUAUAUAUAAUUUAACAAACCAAAAUUUCAAUGAAAACGCAAUCUCACAGAUUUUUAUAAGAGUAAUUGAAGCUGGUUAAGGAAGAGAGGUAAGCUAUUGCAAUUGUGAUGCUGUUGCCGAGACUUCUAAAAGUUUAAUAUUGCAGAUGUAAUUAUGGUUGCAGAGGAUAAUUUAAAACUGAGCAAAAGUAUGGUUUGGACACGAUGCAACUCAUAUCUCAAUUAUCAUUUCACUCAUUCUAGUUUCAAAUGUCUCUACAUUUUUAUAGUAGGCUUAUUCUGUAACUUCUUGUACUAUAUCUAUAUGUAUGUUUAACACUAAAUACCACAUCUUAAUGCAAGUUACUUCAAAAUGCUGAAGCUCCAAAA